RNAcentral lists this ribosomal RNA (450 nucleotides) under uncultured bacterium. RNAcentral describes it as "bacterial SSU rRNA". It matches the Rfam family "Bacterial small subunit ribosomal RNA", at positions 354 to 796 of the family's 1533-position model. The record is from RNAcentral.
GUGGGGAAUAUUGGACAAUGGGCGAAAGCCUGAUCCAGCCAUGCCGCGUGUGUGAAGAAGGUCUUCGGAUUGUAAAGCACUUUAAGUUGGGAGGAAGGGUAGUAACCUAAUACGUUGCUACUUUGACGUUACCGACAGAAUAAGCACCGGCUAACUUCGUGCCAGCAGCCGCGGUAAUACGAAGGGUGCAAGCGUUAAUCGGAAUUACUGGGCGUAAAGCGCGCGUAGGUGGUUCAGUAAGUUGGAAGUGAAAUCCCCGGGCUCAACCUGGGAACUGCUUUCAAAACUGCUGAGCUAGAGUACGGUAGAGGGUAGUGGAAUUUCCUGUGUAGCGGUGAAAUGCGUAGAUAUAGGAAGGAACACCAGUGGCGAAGGCGACUACCUGGACUGAUACUGACACUGAGGUGCGAAAGCGUGGGGAGCAAACAGGAUUAGAUACCCCAGUAGUCC